Molecule: long non-coding RNA, 448 nt
Organism: Bos taurus (domestic cattle)
Lineage: Eukaryota; Metazoa; Chordata; Mammalia; Artiodactyla; Bovidae
Source: Ensembl
GCUUCUGCGUGGGCCUGUCUCUGGGACGAUUUCUUUCUUCACUGCAGGUUCUGCAAAGCUCCCGUAAUCCACCUUAACGCCUAGAGCAAGAUCCAUGCCCUGUGACUAAGCUUACAACACAUGGGACGAAGGAAAGCUGUGACUUGUCUUGGGGCUGUGGUCCUUGGCCCUGGGAGAGGAGCUGACCCCACGUCUCUCCUCCCUGCCCACACCGACUGCCUUCACUCUGACCCUCUUCACCUCCCUCCUCAAGUUAGGGUCUUGCUGUUGCUGAAAUGAAUCACCACAAACCUCAACAACUUAAAGCAACACACUUUCAUCACCUCACAGUUCCGGAGGUCAAAGUCCUGUGAGUCUCACUGGCGAAGAUCAAGGUGUUAACAGGACUGCAUUCCUUGUGAAGCCUUCAGGGAGAGUGCGUCUCCUCAACCUUAUUUACCUUCUGGAG